CGUGAGGACCCAGGUCCGCCACGGGCGGAAGAAAAACCAAGCCGGAUGUCACGAUAGGCAACCUCUCAACCCUCGGGUGUUGGACCGAGUGCAUCAUCGGACCAUGGAGGUGGUGAAUUCGUGCUCGCCUCGAGAAAGUGUCAACCGGUGUUCCAGGAAUUACUCACCGGAAUUGGCCUCCGCGGUCGUGUCGCCUUGUGCCGCGGGUAGGAUCCAAAGCGCCCUAAUCCAUGGAGGUAAGCCCACCAUCUAACUCGCGAUCACCUCCGCAUUGUUUUGCAUCAGCGCUUGUCGUGAAUCGGUCGCCGGGGGGAAAUCGAUUUUGCCUCUCCGGCGAGGGGCGCCGCCGUGAUCGGGUUCACGGGCGCGGAGUGCGCUCGUAGGGGAGAAGCUCGGGUGCCGUCCGUCUUGAGAUAAACGGUCACAAUUAGGCGGACAGCUCGGGGAGAAAGAAGGGAAUCGGUCCGUUGGAUUUUGAGCCAGCGGCUAGGAUUAGAACGAGUUCAGAUUUGAUAUGGUCCGUUCGAUCGGAAUGGAUGCGCUGGAUUAAAUCUGCGCAUAUUGGUUCGAUGCUUCACUCUGGACCGCCGAUCUGCGAUCCGAGGGCUCAGGGAGCGUACCGUUUCAAAUCCUAGCAAUCUAAUCUGGUCCGUUGAUUCCAGAUCGCGUGGCCCCUGUUAGUCGAUACCCAUUUGGUGGCCGUUUUCCUAAUGAGUCCCCCAGAGAAGUAGAAAUCAACCCGCUGUCCACCCGGGUUAAUCCUGAGUCAUGGAAAACUUUGCGAGUAGGCCCCCGAACUUCUCUGUAUUGUGCGCUCAGUCCACGAAACAGGGAAAAUAAGUAAAUAAAUACAGAAAAUAGAUAUUUAGUAUAAAAACAAUUCCAAAACCUAGUUUAAUUCAUAUAAAAUUCAUUUUAACUCAUUUUUAGCCCAUUCCAGUUUCUAUAAUUUUGUAAUAUUAUUAUUUAUCAACUAGUGUCUCUGUUUUGACAUGAAAACCAUAUUAAAAUUAAUCUCCUAACUAAUCUUGUACCUAGCACCUAGAAAUGUUGGAAAUUCAUAACUUAAAAUCCAUAACUCCAAAAUUAAUGAUUCCUGUUCCUAUGAUCUUAUUUUAAUAUGUAGAUUAUUAAUAUGUAUUUUGUUCUUAUGUUUGGUGUGAUAUUAAUUUUGCCUAUACCAUGUUUGUUUGUAUUGCAACGAUUAGCGUGAGGUCACGAGUCAUGUGAAGAGCAAGUUGGUACCUAGAAUCUCAAGUCACAGGCAAGUUGUUCCCUUGAUCACUUCUUUUUACCCAGUCAUGUUCUGAUUAAUUAUUCUUUAGAUUACAAUUUGCUUUCCGUUUCUCAAUUAUGUAAAAUGGGCUACAACUGUCUUUUUACGGAUAUAGGUGUUACUGUCUUUAGAAGAAGUGAUGAUUCAGUAGCAUUUAAGGGAGUGUUAGAGGGUCAACUAUACUUAGUUGACUUUGAUAGAGCUGAACUUGACACUUGCUUAAUUGCUAAGACUAACAUGGGUUGGCUCUAGCACCGCCGACUAGCUCAUUUUGGGAUGAAGAAUCUUCAUAAGCUUCUAAAUGGAGAGCACAUUUUGGGACUAACCAAUGUUCAUUUUGAGAAAGACAGGGUUUGUAGCGCAUGUCAAGCAGGAAAGCAAGUUGGUGUUCAUCAUCCACACAAGAACAUCAUGACGACCGACAGGCCGCUCGAGCUACUCCACAUGGACCUAUUCGGCCCGAUCGCUUACAUAAGCAUCAACGGGAGUAAGUAUUGUCUUGUAAUAGUGGAUGAUUAUUCUCGCUUCACUUGGGUAUUCUUUUUGCAGGAAAAAUCUCAAACCCAAGAGACCUUAAAAGGAUUCUUGAGACGAGCUCAAAAUGAGUUCGGCUUGAGGAUCAAGAAGAUUAGAAGCGACAACGGGACGGAGUUCAAGAACUCUCAAAUAGAAGGCUUCCUUGAGGAGGAGGGCAUCAAGCAUGAGUUCUCUUCUCCCUACACACCACAAUAAAAUGGUCUAGUGGAGAGGAAGAAUAGAACUCUAUUGGACAUGGAAAGGACCAUGCUUGAUGAAUACAAGACUUCGGAUCGGUUUUGGGCCGAGGAGGUCAACACCGCCUGCUACGCCAUCAACCGGUUGUAUCUACACCGAAUCCUCAAGAAGACAUCGUAUGAACUCCUCACCGGUAAAAAGCCAAAUGUUUCAUAUUUUAGAGUCUUUGGUAGCAAAUGUUUUAUUCUUGUUAAAAGAGGUAGAAAAUCUAAAUUUGCUCCUAAGGCUGUAGAAGGCUUUUUACUUGGUUAUGAUUCAAACACAAGGGCAUAUAGAGUCUUUAACAAGUCCUCUGGACUAGUUGAAGUUUCUUGUGACAUUGUGUUUGAUGAGACUAACGGCUCUCAAGUAGAGCAAGUUGAUCUUGAUGAGCUAGAUGAUGAAGAGGCUUCGUGCGUCGCGCUAAGGAACAUGUCCAUUGAGGAUGUGUGUCCUAAGGAAUCCGAAGAGCCUCCACAAGCACAAGAUCAACCAUCUUCCUCAAUGCAAGCAUCUCCACCAACUCAAGAUGAGGAUCAAGCUCAAGAUGAUGAUGAAGAUCAAGAGGAGCCACCUCAAGAGGAGGACAAUGAUCAAGGGGGAGAUGCUAAUAAUCAAGACAAGGAAGGUGAUCCAAGACCGCCACACCCAAGAGUCCACGAAGCAAUCCAAUGAGAUCACCCCGUGAACACCAUCCUCGGCGACAUUCAUAAGGGGGUAACUACUCGAUCUCGUGUUGCUCAUUUUUGUGAACAUUACUCUUUUGUUUCCUCUAUUGAGCCACACAGGGUAGAGGAAGCACUUCAAGAUUCGGAUUGGGUGAUGGCGAUGCAAGAGGAGCUCAAUAACUUCACGAGGAAUGAGGUAUGACAUUUAGUUCCACGUCCUAAUCAAAACAUUGUGGGAACCAAGUGGGUCUUCCGCAACAAACAAGAUGAGCAUGGUGUGGUGACAAGGAACAAAGCCCGACUUGUGGCCAAGGGAUAUUCACAAGUCGAAGGUUUGGAUUUUGGUGAAACCUAUGCACCCAUAGCUAGGCUUGAGUCAAUUCGCAUUUUACUUGCCUAUGCUACUUACCAUGGCUUUAAGCUCUAUCAAAUGGACGUGAAAAGUGCCUUCCUCAAUGGACCAAUCAAGGAAGAGGUCUAUGUUGAGCAACCUCCCGGCUUUGAAGAUAGUGAGUACCCUAACCAUGUUUAUAAACUCUCUAAGGCGCUUUAUGGGCUCAAGCAAGCCCCAAGAGCAGCAUGAAUGCCUAAGAGAUUUUCUUAUCGCUAAUGGCUUCAAAGUCGGAAAAGCCGAUCCUACUCUCUUUACUAAAACACUUGCAAAUGAUUUGUUUGUAUGCCAAAUUUAUGUUAAUGAUAUCAUAUUUGGGUCUACUAACGAAUCUACAUGUGAAGAGUUUAGUAGGAUCAUGACUCAAAAAUUCGAGAUGUCUAUGAUGGGGGAGUUGAAGUAUUUCUUAAGAUUUCAAGUCAAGCAACUCCAAGAGGGCACCUUCAUUAGCCAAACGAAGUACAUUCAAGAUAUUCUCACAAAGUUUGGGAUGAAGGAUGCCAAACCCAUCAAGACACCCAUGGGAACUAAUGGGCAUCUCGACCUCGACACGGGAGGUAAAUUCGUAGAUCAAAAGGUAUACCGGUCGAUGAUAGGUUCUUUACUCUAUUUAUGUGCUUCACGACCGGAUAUAAUGCUUUCCGUAUGCAUGUGUGCAAGAUUCCAAGCCGAUCCUAAGAAAGUUCACCUUAGGGCCGUGAAACGAAUCUUGAGAUAUUUAGUUUAUACUCCUAAGUUUGGCCUUUGGUACCCCAGGGGAUCCACAUUUGAUUUAAUUGGUUAUUCCGAUAAUGAGUGGGCAGGGUGUAAAAUUAAUAGAAAGAGCACAUCAGGGACUUGCCAGUUCUUGGGAAGAUCUCUGGUGUCUUGGGCUUCAAAGAAGCAAAAUUCUGUGGCUCUUUCUACCGCCAAAGCCGAGUAUAUUGCCGUAGGCCAUUGUUGCGUGCAAUUGCUUUGGAUGAGGCAAACCCUCAGGGACUAUGGUUACAAAUUAACCAAAGUUCCUCUUCUAUGUGAUAAUGAGAGUGCAAUCCGCAUGGCGGAUAAUCCCGUUAAGCAUAGCCGCACUAAACACAUAGUCAUUCGGUAUCAUUUCUUAAGGGAUCACCAACAAAAGGGGGAUAUCGAGAUCGCAUAUGUUAACACCAAAGAACAAUUAGCCGAUAUCUUUACCAAGCCAUUAGAUGAGCAAACUUUUACCAAACUUAGGCAUGAGCUAAAUAUUCUUGAUUCUAGGAAUUUUUAUUGAUAUUUUGCACACAUAGCUCAUUUAAUAUACCUUUGAUCAUAUCUCUUUCUUUGCUAUGACUAAUGUGGUUUUCAAGUGUAUUUCAAGCUAAGUCAUAAAUUGAAAGGGAAAUAGAGUCUUUGGCGAAGACAAGGCUUCCACUCCACUCCAUCGAAUUAUUCAUCCUUCGCCGGCACUCCACUCUCCAACUUUGGUAUAAUCUUCACAAUAGUCCCUCUUCAUAAGCAGGUGUGGCUAGAGAAACAUGGGCAUAUUAUGUUUUAGCUAUCACGUGAGAUUAGAGAAGAUUUAGGAUAUGCGAAGGUUUAGGCAAGGAAAGCUUCCAUCCCGGAUGGUGAAUCUUGAUUUGUCUGAAGAUAUGGUUUGACUUUUAUCCUUCCUUGACGAGGUUGAUCUUCUCUUCUCGGGUCUUGGUGUUAUCAUCCAAGUAAAGGACAUUUGGUUUUGGUGUUUCCUUCUGGGUUUAGGUAUAGAUGGUUGUGAAAUGUGAUAUAGAUAAAACAUGGUUUAUUUUUGUUUUUAGGUUGGACUAGAUAGGUUACAAUCUUGUUUUGAAAUAGAUUGUGGGCGAGAAAGGUUAUGGUAAGGAGAGAUUCCAUCCCGGAUGGUGGAUCCCAACUUUUGAAGAUCUUUUCUGGCUUCUGUUCUUCCUUGUCUUGAUGAGGUCGAUCACCUUCAAUCUCUGGUCUUGACUUCAUCAUCCGAGUUAGGGACAUAUAGUUAAGAUAGCUUGUAGAUAGGAACAUAUAGCUAAUAGGUAGAUGGCAUAGGACGAGUGUGCUAUGGCCAAACCUGGUCUAGUUGCUUUGUUAGGUCGGCUAGGUACAGAUCUUUAGGAACAUGUAGAUUAGGUGGGUAGGUAAGAAUAUUUUGUUGUGAAAUAGAUUGUUUAGGUAACCUAACAAGAAUAUAUAGGUUAGGUUGAUUGUGUAUUGGUCGAGUUGGCCUAAGGCACCAAUUUAGGUUAAGACAUGUGAAAGGGAAAUGAGCUUAAACAUUUCCUAUAAUCGAUUUUGGUGUUUGACGUCCAUCACAAACCAUGUGGACAAACUAGUUUGCCUAGUUGUCAUUUAUCUCAGGUGCAUAAAGUUCAACAUAAACCAACAAAGAAAAUGAGUUCAGGAACUCUACAAAGUUUGGAGCAAAAACAAGUAUUGGUGCAGCCAGUGGCGCACAGGAUGUAACACCCCUGGUGUUACUGGCACUAAAACUUGAGCAUAACAUCAUGAGCAUUGACAUUUCAUGUGGUUGUUACACCUAGAAUGCAUUCACUAGGUAAAAUUUUCAAAAAAUUUGUGAUGAGGUGACUUGAUCUGUGAUUAACCCUAGGGUAGGGUACUUAACCCUGAAUUAGGGCUUAUGGAUGAAAGUGAAGCCAAAAUGAGUAAAAAUCUCAAAAGUCAUUAGAAAUGUUCAUAAUAUAUCAAAGUUGAUGGACUUUAGUAGCACAAAAACCCUAAAGUACUCAAAACCCUAAAAGAAAACCUAGAAAACCAUAAUUGGAACCUUGGGGGGGGGGGGUAAAUGUAAAUUCUAGGCACUUUUGGACCAAAGUGCAAAAUUCAAAGUGAUAGAACACCACAAACCAAGUAACUUUCAUAUUCGAGAAUUUCCAUGUUGUAUGAUGAAAUUUGGACUUAUUUGCAAAAGGGUCACAUGAGCACUAGGUGACAAAGUCUAAAAAUCAGUGAAAUAGGGUCAACUUUGGAGCUCUGUAUCCCUCAAUUCUUAAGGAUUUUGCCCUAGGUCAACACAUCAAAUUUGUAGAGCUAUGUUAGGAGUAUAACUUUGCUUAAGUGAUUAAGCAUUGGUGUUAUAUAAAAAUUGGAUAUAAACUAGCCUAAAGAUGGACUGUCAGUCAUAAGGAAAUUCUAAACCUGGCUUAACAGUGGCGCUGGUCUGACUUUAGAAAUAAAUUAAGGACGAUUCAGUGGGUUUAAGUCUGAGGUCACUGUGAGGAAGUUGGAGGUAGUAUAUAGAAGCACAACUUUGCUAAAGUAAGGUUGGGUUGUUUCUGUACGAAAACCGAAGUAAUAAUGCCUUGAAGUAGCGCUGUCAGUCGGUUUGAUGGGGAUAGAAAUGUGAUCACUGCAUCUGACUGAAGCUAGGGUUCAGUGUUAUAGAACCAACUUGGGCAUCGUCGCGUGCUUAAUCCAUGGGGAUUUUCGGUAUGAUCGUAAUACCAAAGUGAAAGAACGUUGAUUAAUGCACAACUUCGAUGCGGACCGAUUUGCAAGUAACCACAUGAAAUAGGGCGCAAUGUCUAUCUGAAUUCGAGCUAGCAGGCACGAUGUCGACCUAUGUUCAGUGAACCUCAUCGGGGAUAAGAACGCCACCAUUGCCGUGUGCACUGCUCGGACUUGCGGCCACGGUAAAAAUCUUCCGGGACGUGGCGCAUGUAACCAUGAGGUGGCGCCGUUCGGCCAAAGCGUUUCACCUGGGCGCUCGUCGUGGCCUUACCCACGCGCGAGCUCGCAAGCGCACAUGGAGAUCUUUUGAAUCCCGUCCGAUUCCAGCCAGCCCCCUAUAAAUUGAGCCUGAGCGCUACUUCUUCACUGCAUUACGCACCUGAGUGCUUGCGUGAACCACUCAAUUUCGUGAAGAAACUUAGUUAAGCCGUGAGCUUCUCCUCACCGUUCUCGGCUCCGCCGUGAAAGACCUCUCCGUGGCUAGGUCAAAUUGAGCAAGCAUUCCCUAAAUUAUGUCCCGUCCGAGCUUCCUUAGAUACUAAGGGUACUCCUUGAUCUGUUUAAUUUAACACGGCUGCCUUUAUCUCACCAGAACAGUCCCUCGACGCCGGAGUACUCCGUGAUCCGCCGCCCCGACGCGGACCGCCUUCUCUGUUCUUCAUCCCGCCCAUUCCACUGUCGUUCUGAGCUGUUGGUAAGUCCUUAGUGCUUACCAUGCCUUUUAAUCGGGUUCUACCGCGCCAUGGUUUUGGGACCAAGCCCGGCGAACCUCGGUGUCUGCCAUGAACCAAGUGACGUGGACCGUAGGCCAUAACAAUCCGAUUGGUGGUAGGAUGUGGGUUGGUUAUGCCUAGGGAAGUGACCGGGAUGCUCGUCGUCUCGAAAGGGGCUGCCGGCGGCGAGCUCUGAUAGUGACAGUCAGGUGUUCGACACGACGUCGUCGGGGGUCUUGUGGACAUAAAUAGAACUAAGUAGAAGGGCUUAGGUGUAAGUGUCAGUGACUCAUGUAAACAGUAUCAACAAGCGCUUCGCAAUUGUUUGAACGAUCAGGGGCCAUUGCGCAAAUCAACCCGCGCGGUCGCAGGCGCGCCGGAAUUCUAUACAGACCUGGUCCGGCCGGGCUGGUUUUGGCCCAAUACUGUAGACAGUUUCUCCUUUUCUUUUUUUGAUUAGGAUUGGAGAUCCAUCAGAAAUUCUAGAAAAAUAAUAAAAAUAUGGGACCAAUUUUACUAGACUCCUAAAAUCCUAUAGUAUUUAAUAAAAGUAGUUCCAAGAUUUUUAAUCCCAACUAUGAAUUAUUUAGUAUUUAAAAGGGCCUAAACCUAGACUUUUGAAAUUUUAGAAAUUAACAAAUAGCUCCAAAAAUCAUAAAACUUUUUGGGUAAGCUUAAUUUGAUAAUUAGAUCCCAUGGAUGAAGUUUGAAAUGUGUUGGACAUUGUUUGAUUCCCAAACCCAAAACCCUAGCUUUCUAGAUAAUAGUUGCCUUAUUCUAGUGGACUACUAACUCGGAAAACCCUAGUUUCCCUGGUGUACCGAGAAGGAAAGUUGUAUUCAAGAUACAACUUGAUGUGUCGCUAAUAAAAUUGCAUUCAUAGCAUCACAUGAGCAUUCAUGUUUGUAUAUGGUUAUGUAUAGAAAACAAAGAAGAAGUAAGUGUCAAAGAGGAAGAGACUGCACCACCAACUGAAACUCCACCUGCUGGGAGUUGUUUUUAUUUCGAUAUCUGUGGAACAGAUCCCAACUCCCCUACAACACAAGGCAAGCCCCGGUGCAUUUACCUUUCCUUGUGAUUUUAAACUCUUUAUCACUUGAAUGAUGCAUUAGGUGAUAGGAGUUGAGUGCUACACAAUUGCUGCAUUUCCUUCCUUGAAGUUGACUACCAUUCCUUGAUUACCUGUUUUAUUAAAAGGUUUUCUGAUGCUUAGUCUUGCUUUAGAAAACAAAAAUGUUUUGGUUUUAACAAAAGAUGAUGCUUCAGAUGGAAUGGGAUCUUUUCAAAAAUAAAACUUGAUGGUGGAUCCAUCAUGGACGUGAUGGGUUCAACAUCAGAAAAGAUGUACCUCUGACAGGUACCAAACUUUGGGACUUUAAAUGAUAAAGCUGAGACCGGGCGGGUGACUUGCACGAGAAGAGAGUCUCGGUGUAGUGGCUCCGUCUGAGUUGAUUAAGGACCAUGUCGAUGUAGGCUUGAUGAUUGAGAACCUUUUAACUAGUCACAUGCCUCGUCAUGGGUAAGCUUUGCCUCAGGCACACCAAUACCAGAAAGGCCAACACGCAAUGGGAGUGCCAUAUUCUUUGUCGAGUGUUUUUUCGGGCACUCGACAUAGAAGCUCUUUGCCGAGUGCCACGCAAAAAACCCUCUAUAAAAGAAAACACUCGCAGAAGCUCUUUGCCGAGUGUUUUAUUUUUGACACUCGGCAAAGAGUUUCUUUGCCGAGUGUCUUUUUUUGACACUCGACAAAGGGCUCUUUGCCGAGUGUCACAAAUACAACACUCGGCAAAGAGCUCUUUGCCGAGUGUUUUUUUCCAAAACUAGGCAAAGACAAUUUAAAAAUCACAUUUUAAAGCAGUAAAUUAAUUCAAAUGAAAAAGUUUUCAACUACAAAUUUGUAUAACUCAUCAUGAUAUACAAUUCAUAUAUUGAACAUUUCUUCAUAUGACAAAAUAAAAAUAAAUUUGUUCAUAAAACCUAUAUCUCUCCCGUAGUUUAUGAAACUACGAGGGAGACAUAUAUAAUUUGUGCAUAUUGUUAGAACCAUCAUGUGAGAUAAACAAAUGACCAAACAACCAAAAUAAACUUUGUAGAUCUUGAGAAGUUAAAGAGGUUUGUAGUUGACAACUUUUUCAUUUGAAGUCAUAUUGUCAACGAAAACUACGUCUGAAUUUAAAAAAUUUAAAAUUUGAAUUUUGAAAACGACCUCGAAAUAAAAAACCACCAACAUAAAAGUUGUAGGUAUUGAAGAGUUAUGAAACUUUGUAGUUUACAAUGUUUUGGUUUGAAAUCAUCUUGUUAUGCAAAACUAUGUUUGAAUUUUAAAAUUUGAAUUUUUCAAACUAUCUCGGAUGGGAAACCACCAAAAUAAAAGUUGUAGGUCUUGAAAUGUAAUGAAACUUUGUAAUUGACAACUUUUUGAUUUGAAAUCAUCUAAUCAUUGAAAAAUUCGUGUGAAGUUUUCAAAUUUAAAAUUCAAAUUUUGUAAACGGUCUCGGAUGUAGAAACUAUUAAAAUAAAACUUGUAGAUCUCAAAAAGUUAUGCAACUUUAUAGUUGGUCACAUUUUCAAAUGAACUCAUUCAGUGCCUUAAAUAAUCAAAUUACUCUCGGUUUGUUAUAGUACAUGGGGAAUGAAAACGUAAUAUAGACAUAAUUGGUGUAGUAGUGUAGUGGUAUAGGAGGGUAUGCGUGAGAUAGAAGUUGCGAGUUCGAAUCUCACCAUUUACAAAACAUAUAAAUUUGAUUCAAAAUAAUAGUGAAAAAUGAUAAGGCUUUGGUAAGGUAAUAGGUAGGGUUGGAGAGUUGUUCCUAUAAUUUUUAAAAAAUGUUUUGCUGUUUUUUUUUAAUUUUUUCGAUUCUUAAUUUGCCGAGUGUUUUUCUUUGCCGAGUGCUUUUCGACACUCGGCGAAGUCUUUACCGAGUGUCCGAAAAAAGUACUCGGCAAAGAACCCUUUGCCGAUAAAAUAUUUGCCGAGUGUUACACUCGGCUAAGGCUUUGUCGAGUGUAAAAUAGCCUUUGCCGAGUGUCUUAGACACUUGGCAAAGAACACGAUUCCGAUAGUGGAGUGGAGAGAUGGCGAGAGUAGCGUGUACCCUCCGUGGCAAGAGGCUGGACGGUGGUGUAUCUGUGCUCUCGGUUGGCGUGAACUCGGUCUGGUCUUGAGAACCCCGGUGGCGAGUUGACAUAUGCAAGGGUUAAGUGCUACAUAUGUCGUGUGAUUGGAGAUCCCCAACUGGGUAUUAAUCGAUUCAGAUCGCCGUUACUUCUCAGAUAUGAAUACUUGGUCACUGCAAUACACGUAGCAAUCCAGUAAAGAAAAAUGGUGAUAAAAGAUGACUAGUGUAGGCCAAGUGCUUGAACUAGGGUAGAAAGAAAUCUAGCUACAGGUGAUGACUUAACUUGAUAAUAAAACUGGAUUUUUAAGGAUCCACUAUUAGUAAGCAUUCUGCAAACAAAGUCUUUGAUUUUUUGAAUAGCCUUACCUUGACUCCCUCAAGCCAGCAUAUCCUUGAGAGUCUUUUCUUUUGUCGGGUAAGACUUGUGAAAGUACACUCCGUACUCAGGGUUUUUGAACCCAUGUUGUUGUAGGUGAGGAAACAGCAGAGUUUUGCUGUUUCUACUCAAGGGUGGUACCCAAGGAAGAGCCCCAGCAAUGAAGUUGGUCACGGGAGGAUGUUUGCCUCCCACUUUGAAAUCAAUAAACUUGUGUGCGGGAGGGUGUUUUGCCUCCCUGGUCUGUAAUAAUACUCCAUGCACCCGUAAUACCCUGGUUUUGUAAUAAUAAUACACUCUCUCUAUAUGGAUGAAUGUAAAUUAAGUCAUUGUAAUUUGCUUCCACUUAUUCUUUCCUCCGAUGUGAUGUAAUAUCUGCGUGACGGGUGAAGCGCUCUUGGGCGAAAUGAUGAGGAUACAGUUACCGAACUUGUCGAGUGAUUAUGUGCAUCUAUAGGGUUGUCCAAGGUCCUUAGGACAAGGACAACUGUAGGUGGGCCUAAUACCUUGGGAGGUUCCGUCACAGCUGGUAUCGGAGCGAAACCCAUCUCUCCAGAUAUUACGUAGUACUUCAAAAGAAUUUUCAAAUACUCACCUAGAAAUAUUCUUUCAUUUUUACCUUACCACUUUCUGGUAGUCCCUUAUCUGGUAGAAUUGGGUAACAAAGUGCAAUAUAUAGGAAGUUGGGGAUCAACGAAAGUUGAUUCCAUAAUUAUCAGGUUAUGCAUGCAUCAUGUUUAAGGAUAUACUAAAAAAUCUUCCCCUCUUAUGGAGAUAUGGCAUGAACAAGGAAAACAACACACAAAUCUUCUGGACCUUUUGGUGUGCCUCGUCAUCAGCUAGCCCCUAGACAUGAAGGGAGUAGUAGUGGCAGCAAUGACCCAAUUGGAGACCUGGAAACCAAGGUGGAACAACUUCGGUCAGAGCUACGUCACCGAAAUAGGGCAUGGGCGCAUGACAACCAGCAUAUAGCUGAAUUGUCAGCUGACGUCAGCCGCUUGCAAUAUGAGAUCUCAGAACGGGAUUCGGCCAUUGAUUGGGCCGUCAACUCGCGUUCGAUCGCUUGGGACCGCGAAGCAAAAGCUCGAGCUCGUGUGGCAGAGCUUAGUGCGGCCCUCGACAACCUGCAAGUGUACUGUAAUACUUUACAUGAAGAAGUACAUGUACUAUAUGCUCGACUGCACUCGAAUGUGCCUUCUGACAUUGCUGCAGUGGGAGCCAGACCAUCGGGAACAGCAAAUGAAGGACCUGAUGAGGAGUUGGACCUUUUUAGGCCCCCUCCUUCCAUGAACCUUGCUGACGAACGGUCUCCUGCAGUAGAAAAUGAAGCAACCAAGGAUGACGAAGACUAGAAUAGUAUAGUUUAGAUGUUAUACUUAUGUAAAAUAAGUAAUGAAGUCAAGUUGUACGCAGGAGUCUGUAUAAUUAUUACAUUUUGGUAAUGUAAUAUGAUGGUGUGUGCUGGCUUGUUAUAAUUUUUUUCCAAAUGUUUCUUUGCCUCAGAUGCCAUCACAGACUCGCGCACAUGAUGGUGCGGGGACUUCCCACGGUCAGGAAGAUACUCCUAACCCGACACCAGUACCACCGACUUUGGCCGAGGCUAUCCCUGCCCUGGUCAAUGCCACUGCGGAUAAUACGCGCUUCUUGCGCGAAAUGGCGGGAAUCAGUUCCAACCGCAUGGUGGGAGAGCUCCUCCCCAAGGGUUGCGUGAUACUACAUAUUUGGAAUUUUCUAAGACUCGACCCCCCGCUCUUUAUUAAAGCAGAAGAACCUCUAGAAGCCGAUGAGUGGGUAAGAGUUAUGGAACAGAAGUUUGGGCUGAUUCGCUUCACAGAGACGCAGAAGCCACUGUUUGCUGCACAACAGCUGAGAGGGCCUGGCAGUACUUAGUGGGCAAAUUUUGUAGCAAUUCAAUCGGCUGGACAUCAGAUCACUUGGGAGGAAUUCAAGCUAGCAUUCCGGGAGCAUUAUGUUCCAGAGGGAGUGCUCCAUAUGAAACAAGAAGAAUUCAUCCGGUUAAAGCAAGGGGGAGAUACUGUAAUGCAGUAUCUCAACAAAUUCAACCAUCUAUCUCAGUAUGCCAUCGACAAAGUGAAUACAGAUCUGAAGAAAAAGAAUUGUUUUAUGAGGGGACUCAAUGACAGGGUUCAGCAGAAAAUGGCAACCUGCUUGGACCUUACUUACAGUAGGGCUGUCAGUACUGCACUGGUAGUAGAAGCCAAAAAUGCAGGACAUGGAAAAUCAAAGGGAUUUGGAGGUGAAAGGUCAAAUCAAGGGCCUAAGAAGAGAACCAGGUUGGUGAUCUGACCUUUUAAUCAAAAUCGUUCUUCGCCUCGCCCACCUUCCUAUCCCUUCAAGCAGCCUGUUUUUAUUUGUCCCACUACUGCCCCCGCUUCUACCAAUCACCCGAGUGCCCCUCGUACUCGUUUCCCUGUUCUCCCCAGUUCUUCCACUGGUUGCUUCAAUUGUGGAAAGUCCGGACACUUCAUCAAGGACUGUCCAUACCCGAAGCAAAAUAAAACCAAUUUCCAACAGAACUCUAGGAACUCCAACCAAGGAAAGGGAAAUAUGGCUAAUACUUCAACGGGCAAGAACUUCAAGAAAACUGGAUGGAUUUAUUAUAGUCAAGUGGCUACAACACCGGAGGGUGAGCCGAUAAUGAUGGGUACGUUCCUUAUUGCCAAUUAGCUAGCAGUUAUUCUCUUCGAUUCUGGUGCAUCACACACCUUCAUAAGCAAGAAUUUUGUGGAAAAGCAUUGCAUUCCUUGCACUAAAUCAAGGGAAGGAUUUAUUAUCCAUUCACCUGGGGACGGAUAUGUACUAAGGAAGUAGCCUUCCACAUACCAGUAACAUUGGCCGGGCGGGAAUUCCCUACCAAUAUGAUUGUUUUAAAGGGACAAGACAUAGAUAUAAUCCUGGGCAUGAAUUGGUUAGCCCAGCAUAAAGCUAUCAUUAAUACCGACUUAAGGACCAUCAAAUUGAGCCAUGGCCAUGAAGAGAUUCAACUGUCCAUCCCUGUAGCUAUCCCAGUCAAACCAUCUGGGCAAGUUUAUGAAGCUAUCAUUCCAGAAAUCUAGAAUAUUUCAGUGGUAUGUGAAUUCCCGGAUGUCUUUCCUGAAGAUUUGUCUGGAUUGCCUCCUAAAAGGGAUGUGGAAUUCGUGAUUGAACUAAAGCCCGGUACGACUCCUAUUUCUAUAAGGUCGUACUGAAUGCCACCUAAUGAAUUGGCAGAACUCAAGACUCAACUCCAAGACUUUCUUGAGAAGGGGUUCAUUAGACCUAGUUCAUCACCAUGGGGAUGUCCAGCAAUUUUCGUUAAGAAGAAGGAUCAGACACUUCGAAUGUGCGUGGACUACCGACCCCUUAAUGAGGUCACCAUCAAGAACAAGUACCCUCUUCCUUGGAUCGAUAUCUUAUUCGAUCAACUUACUGGAGCUCGAUUAUUCUCCAAUAUUGACCUUAGGUCAGGUUAUCAUCAAAUCCGUAUUCGACCCGAAGAUAUACCCAAGACCGCAUUCACUACGUGGUAUGGAUUAUUCGAAUAUUUGGUUAUGUCUUUCGGAUUGACAAAUGCUCCAGCCCACUUCACAUACUUAAUGAACUCGCUAUUUAUGCCCGAGUUAGAUAAAUUUGUGGUGGUCUUCAUUGAUGAUAUUCUUAUCUAUUCCAAAAAUGAAGAGGAGCAUGCUAAACACUUACAGAUCGUGCUAAUGCGCUUAAGGGAGCAUCAGCUGUAUGCUAAGUUCAGCAAAUGCACGUUUUGGUUGGAAGAAAUCCAGUUUCUGGGACAUGUAUUGUCUGCCAAAGGAAUUGCGGUCGAUCCCAGCAAAGUCAAGGAUAUUCUAGAAUGGAAACCACCAACUACAGUACAUCAAGUUCGAAGCUUCCUUGGACUAGCUGGAUAUUACCGCAUGUUUAUUCCGGAUUUCUCCAAGAUUGUUAAACCUAUUACAGGUUUAUUGAAGAAUGAUACUAAGUUUGACUGGUCCUCAAAAUGCAAUGAAGCCUUCGAGUAGCUGAAGGUGUUAUUAACCACUGCUCCGGUAUUAGCUCAACCGGACAUUGAAAAAUCUUUUGAUGUGUAUUGUGACGCAUCAGGAAGUGGACUUGGAUGUGUACUAAUGCAAGAGGGCCGAGUCAUAGCUUAUGCUUCAAGACAACUUCGCCGGCAUGAGGAGCACUAUCCAACUCAUGAUUUGGAACUAGCUGCAGUUGUUCAUGCCCUCAAGGUAUGGCGUCAUUAUGUGCUGGGAAAUACUUGCCAUUUAUAUACAGAUCAUAAAAGUCUGAAAUAUAUUUUUACCCAGUCAGAAUUAAACAUGAGGCAGAGAAAAUGGCUUGAGCUGAUUAAAGAUUAUGACUUGGAAAUCCACUAUCACCCAGGAAAAGCCAAUGUGGUGGCAGAUGCACUCAGUCGCAAAGCCUCUUGUCAUUGUCUUACCGUAAGGGCCUCUGACACCACACUAUGUCAAGAAAUGGAAAAGUUGAACCUAGGAAUGGUACAACAUGGAACUUUGACACAAUUAAAGCUUGAGUCAGUUCUUCUACAGAGAAUUAUUGAUGCCCAAAGAACCGACAAGGGUAUGAAGCACAUUCAUGAGAAAAUAGAAGCCGACAAAGCUAAUUGCUUCAGAGAGGAUGACCAAGGGAUAAUAUGGUUUAAUGAUCGCAUAGUUGUGCCUAAAGAUGCUAAAAUCCACCAACAGACCUUGGAUGAAGCUCAUCUUAGUCGAUAUUCCAUUCAUCCUGGAAGUACUAAGAUGUAUCAAGACUUAAAGCAACACUAUUGGUGGACAAAAAUGAAGAUUAAGAUUGCACGCUAUGUGGCAAGAUGUGACACAUGUAGACAUGUCAAGGCAGUGCACAUGAAGACUGCUGGACCACUGCAAUCUUUACCCAUCCCAACAUGGAAAUGGGAGGAUAUUAGUAUGGACUUCAUUGUGGGAUUGCCCAAGACGGCAAAAGGUUUUGACUCCAUAUGGGUCAUAAUUGAUUGGCUUACGAAGAUUGCUCAUUUCCUACCCGUCAAGACCAAAUAUACAGUGGUCGCAUACGCGGAACUUUAUAUUGCCCGUAUUCUUAGUUUACAUGGAGUUCCAAAAACGAUAGUGUCGGAUCGUGGACCACAAUUUGUAUCCAAAUUUUGGAGUGAACUGCAUAAAUUCUUUGGUACUAAGUUGCUUCACAAUUCGGACUAUCAUUCCCAAACAAGUGGACAAACUGAGAGAGUAAAUCAAAUACUUGAAGACAUGUUGCGGGCGUGCGUCCUAGAGUUCCCGCAAAAAUGGGAUGAAUGUCAGCCAUUGGCGGAAUUUUCUUAUAACAAUAGCUAUCAAAAAAGCAUUAAGAUGGCACCAUUCGAAGCACUGUACGGGCGUCGGUGUCGGACACCCUUAAAUUGGUCAGAACCUGGAGAACGGUGGUAUUUCAGGCCUGACUUAGUCAAGGAAACAGAAGCAAAGGUUCAACGGAUAAGGCAUCACUUGAAAGAAGCUCAAGCUCGGCAGAAAAGUUAUGCAGACAAACGACGCCGACCCUUGUUCUUUCAAGUCAAAGAUUAUGUGUACCUGAAAGUAUCACCAAUGAAGGGUGUGAACCGUUUCAGGGUAAAAGGAAAGCUAGCACCCCGAUACAUUGGCCUGUUUCCCAAUCUUGAACAAUGCGAACCAGUGGCGUACUGACUUCAACUACCAGAAACAUUAUCUGCAGUGCAUAAUGUGUUCCAUGUAUCCCAACUAAAGAAGUGCCUUUGGGUUCCUGAUCGAACCAUCGAUGUGGUGGAAGUUGUCUUAGAACCAGAUUUGACUUAUUCAGAACAUCCCAUUCAAGUUUUGGAUCAGAAGGACAUGAUCACUCGAAAAAGGACUCUUAAAUUCUAUAAGGUACAAAGGAACCAGCAUACUGAAGAUGAAGCUACCUGGGAGACUCAAGACUUCUUGGAAAAGAAUUUUCCUAGGUUCUUAACUUCAUGUAACUUGUAAGAUAUGUACAUUUGUUUGUAAAGUUGGAAUAAACCCCAGACCACCCCCUUCUCUGUAAGACAAGUAUGGAAACAAAGAUGUGACACGUUUCCUUUUCCAUUACUUACCCUAGGACCUUAAAUCACAGGACGAGAUUCUUUUAUGGGGGGAAGGAUGUAACACCCCUGGUGUUACUGGCACUAAAACUUGAGCAUAACAUCAUGAGCAUUGAUAUUUCAUGUUGUUGUUACACCUAGAAUGCAUUCACUAGGUAAAAUUUUCAAAAAAGUUGUGAUGAGGUGACUUGAUGUGUGAUUAACCCUAGGGUAGGGUAAUUAACCCUGAAUUAGGGCUUAUGGAUGAAAGUGAAGCCAAAAUGAGUAAAAAUCUCAAAAGUCAUUAGAAAUGUUCAUAAGAUAUCAAAGUUGAUGGACUUUAGUGGCACAAAAACCCUAAAGUACUCAAAACCCUAAAAGAAACCCUAGAAAACUCUAAUUGGAACCCUAGGGGGGUAAAUGUAAAUUCUAGGCACUUUUGGACCAAAGUGCAAAUAUCAAAGUGAUAGAACACAACAAAUCAAGUAACUUUCAUAUUGGAGAAUUUCCACAUUAUAUGAUGAAAUUUGGACUUAUUUGCAAAAGGGUCACAUGAGCACUAGGUGACUAAGUUUGAAAAUCAGUGAAAUAGGGUCAACUUUGGAGCUCUGUAUCCCUCAAUUCUUAAAGAUUUUGCCCUAGGUCAACACAUCAAAUUUGUAGAGCUAUGUUAGGAGUAUAAAUUUGCUUAAGUGAUUAAGCAUUGGUGUUAUAUAAAAAUUGGAGAUAAACUGGCCUAAAGAUGGACUGUCAGUCAUAAGGAAAUUCUAAACCUGGCUUAACAAUGGCGCUGGUCUGACUUUAGAAAUAAAGGACGAUUCAGUGGGUUUAAGUCUGAGGUCACUGUGAGGAAGUUGGAGGUAGUAUAUAGAAGCAUAACUUUGCUAAAGUAAGGUUGGGUUGUUGCUGUACGAAAACCGAAGUAAUAAUGACCUGAAGUAGCGCUGUCAGUCGGUCUGAUGGGGAUAGAAAUGUGAUCACUGCAUCUGACUGAAGCGAGGGUUCAGUGUUAUUGAGCCAACUUGGGCGUCGCCACAUGCUUAAUCCAUGGGGAUUUCGGUAUGAUCGUUAUACCAAAGUGAAAGAACGUUGAUUAAUGCACAACUUCGAUGCGAACCGAUUUGCAAGUAACCACAUUAAACAGGGCGCAAUGUCUAUCUGAAUUCGGGCUAGCAGGCAUGAUGUCGACCUAGGUUCAGUGAACCUCGCUAGGGAUAAGAACGCCACUUUUGUUGUGUGCACUGCUCGGACUUGCGGCUGUGGAAAAAAUCUUUAGGGACAUGGCACAUGUAACCAUGAGGUGGCGCCGUUCGGCCAAAGCGUUUCACUUGGGCGCUCGUCGUGGCCUUAUCCGCGCGCGAGCUCGCCAGUGCACAUGGAGAUCUUUUGAAUCCCGUCCGAUUCCAACCACCCCCUAUAAAUUGAGCCCGAGCGCUACUUCUUCACUGCAUUACACACCUGAGUGCUUGCGCGAACCACUCAAUUUCGUGAAGAAACUUAGUUAAGCUGUGAGCUUCUCCUCACCGUUCUCGGCUCCACCGUGAAAGACCUCUCCGUGGCCAGGUCAAAUUGAGCAAGCAUUCCCUAAAUUCUGUCCCGUCCGAGCUUCCGUAGAUACUAAGGGUACUCCUUGAAAUGUUUAGUUUAACGCGGCUGCCUUUAUCUCACCAGAACAGUCCCUCGACGCCAGAGUACUCCGUGAUCCGGCACCCCGACGCAGACCGCCUUCUCAGUUCUUCAUCCCGCCCAUUGCACUGCCGUUUUUAGCUGUUGGUAAGUCCUUAGUGCUUACCAUGCCUUUUAAUCGGGUUCUACCGCGUCGUGGCUUUGGGACCAAGCCCGGCGAACCUCGGUGUUCGCCAUGAACCAAGUGACGUGGACUGUAGGCCAUAACAAUUCGAUUGGUGGUAGGACAUGGGUUGGUUAUGCCUAGGGAAUUGACUGGGACGCUCGUCGUCUCGAAAGGGGCUGCCGGCGGUGAGCUCUGAUAGUGACAUUCAGGUGUUCGACGCGGCGUCGUCGGGGGUCUUGUGGACAUAAAUAGAACCAAGCAGAAGGGCUUAAGUGUAAGUGUCAGUGACUCAUGUAAACAGUAUCAACAAGCGCUUCUCAAUUGUUUGAACGAUCAGAGGCCUUUGUGCAAAUCAACCCGCGCGGUCGCGGGCGCGCCUGAAUUCUGUACAGACCUGGGCUGGCCGGGCUGGUUUCGGCCCAAUACUUUAGACAGUUUCUUCUUUUGUUUUUUAUUAGGUUUGAAGAUCCAUCAGAAAUUCUAGAAAAAUAAUAAAAAUAUGGGACCAAUUUUACUAGACUCCUAAAAUCCUCUAGUAUUUAAUAAAAAUAGUUCCAAGAUUUUUAAUCCCAACUAUGAAUUAUUUAAUAUUUAAAAAGGGCAUAACCCUAGACAUUUGGAAUUUUAGAAAUUACCAAAUAGCUCAAAAAAUCAUAAAACUUUUCGGGUAAGCUUAAUUUGAUAAUUAGAGCCCUUGGAUGAAGUUUGACAUGUGUUGGAUAUUGUUUGAUUCCUAAACCCAAAACCCUAGCUUUCUAGAUAAUAGUUGCCUUAUUCUAGUGGACUACUGACUCGGAAAACCCUAGUUUCCCUGGUGUACCAAGAAGGAAAGUUGUAUUCAAGAUACAACUUGAUGUGUCACUAAUAAAAUUUCAUAUUCAUAGCAUCACAUGAGCAUUCAUGUUUAUAUAUGGUUAUGUAUAGAAAACGAAGAAGAAGUAAGUGUCGAAGAGGAAGAGACUGCACCACCAACUGAAACCCCACCUGUCGGGAGUUGUUUUUAUUUCGAUAUCCAUGGAAAAGAUCCCAACUCCCCUACAACACAAGGCAAGCCCCGGUGCAUUUACCUUUCCUUGUGAUUUUAAACUCUUUAUCACUUGAAUAAUGCAUUAGGUGAUAGGAGUUGAGUGCUACACAAUUGCUGCAUUUCCUUGUAGGCCUUUCUGGUAUUAGUCUGCCCGAGGCAAAGCUUACCCAUGACGAGGCAUGUGACCAGUUAAAGGGUCCUCGGUCAUCAGGCCCACAUCAGUACGGUCCUUAAGCGACUCAGACGGUGACACUACACCGAGACUCUCUUCUCGUGCAAGUCACCUAUCCAGUCUCGUCUUUAUCAUUUUCAAUCCCAAAAUCUGGUACGUGGCAGAGGUACAUCUUUUCCCAUGUUGAACCCAUCACGGCCAUGAUGGAUCCACCAUCAAGUUUUAUUUUUGAAAACAUCCCAUUCCAUCUGAAGCAUCAUCUUUUGUUAAAAACAAAACAUUUUUGUUUUCUAAAGCAAGACUAAGCAUCAGAAAACCUUUUAACAAAACAGGUAAUCAAGGAAAGGUAAACAGUUCCAAGGAAGGAAAUGCAGCAAUUGGUUUAGCACCCAACUCCUAUCACCUAAUGCAUCAUUCAAGUGAUAAAGAGUUUAAAAUCACAAGGAAAAGGUAAAUGUACUGGGGCUUGCCUUGUGUUGUAGUGGAUUCGGGAUCUGUUGCACAGAUAUCAAAAUAAAAACAGUUCCCGGUAGGUGGCGUUCCAGUUGGUGGUGCAGUCUCUUCUUCUUCAACACUUACUUCUUCUUCGUUUUCUAUACAUAACCAUACAUAUACAUGAAUGCUCAUGUGAUGCUAUGAAUAUGCAAUUAAAAUAGAGAUACAUCAAGUUGUAUCUUGAAUACAACUUUCCUUCACGGUACACCAGGGAAACUAGGGUUUUCCAAGUCAGUAGUCCACUAGAAUAAGGUAACUAUUAUCUAGAAAGCUAGGGUUUUAGGUUUGGGGAUCAAACAAUGUCCAAAACAUGUCAAACUUCACCCAUGGGCUCUAACUCCAUGGCAAGAGGCUGGACGGUGGUGUAUCUGUGCUCUCGAUUGGCGUGAACCCGGUCUGGUCUUAAGAAACCCAGUGGCGAGUUGACAUAUGCAAGGGUUAAGUGCUACAUAUGUCGUGUGAUUGGAGAUCCUCAUCUAAGUAUUAAUCGAUUCAGAUCGUCGUUACUUCUCGGACAUGAAGACUUGGUCAUUGACUUACACGUAGCAAUCCAGUAAAGUAAAAAGGGAUGAUAAAAGAUGGCGAAUGUAGGCCAAGUGCUUGAACUAGGGUAGAAGGAACUCUAGAUUCAGGUAAUGACUUAAACUGAUAAUAAAACUAGAUUUUUAAGGAUCCACUAUUAGUAAGCAUUUCUGCAAACAGAGUCUUGAUUCUUGAAUAGCCUUCCCUUGACUCCCUCAAGCCAGCAUAUCCUUGAGAGUCGUUUCUUUUGUCGGGUAAGACUUGCGAAAGUACACUCCGUACUCAUGUUUUCGAACUCAUGUUGUUGUAGGUGAGGAAACAUCACACUUUUGCUGUUUUUGUUCAAAGGUGGUACCCAAGGAAGAGCCUCAGCAGUGAAGUGGUCGUGGGAGGAUGUUGACCUCCCACUUUAAAAACAAUAAACUUUUGUGCGGGAGGGUGUUUUGCCUCCCUGGUCUAUAAUAAUACUACUUUAUGCACUCCUAGUACCCUGGUAUUGUAAUAAUAAUACUCUCUCUAUAUAUUUGAUGAAUGUAAAUUAAGUUAUUGUAAAUUGCUUCCGCUUAUUCUUUCCUCCGAAAUGACGUAAUAUCUGCGUGACGGGUGAAGCGCUCUUGGGCGAAAUGAUGAAGGUACAAUUACCAAACUUGUCGAGUGAUUAUGUGCAUCUACGGGGUUGUCCAAUGUCCUUAGGACAAGGACACUGUAGGUGGGCCUAAUACCUUGGGAGGUUCCGUCACAUUAUUUCCCACAACUUGUUGAACUAUGAUCUUUUGUGAGCUCACUCUUGCGAUAUAUAAACCCCCCACAGGUGAAAGAGCAGGUGAUCUAAGAGGAGCCCUACAAUGAGGAAUAUGAGCUUAUCUAGGUGGCGUCUCCCAGUCAGCUUGAUGGCGCCAAGGA
Molecule: long non-coding RNA, 21700 nt
Filed under: Zea mays
Lineage: Eukaryota; Viridiplantae; Streptophyta; Magnoliopsida; Poales; Poaceae
Description: long non-coding RNA (ZMAY_LNC000344)
Source: RNAcentral